RNAcentral lists this long non-coding RNA (1957 nucleotides) under Homo sapiens (human). RNAcentral describes it as "HSALNT0081201". The record is from RNAcentral. Lineage: Eukaryota; Metazoa; Chordata; Mammalia; Primates; Hominidae.
CGCAUUUCUCCUCUUACUCUUGGGAACGCCCUACUCUGUCUAUAGAGUAGCUGUACUUUCACCACUUGACUUUCUUAAUAAACUUACUUUUGCUUUGCACUGCUGACUCGCCCUGAAUUCUUUCUUCUUGAGAUCCAAGAACCCUCUCUUGGGGUCUGGAUCAGGAUCCCUUUCCUGUAAUAUCUUUCUGGCAACCACUGAAGGGACUACAGUGAGGAAAUCCUUGACCCAAAGGCUAACUUUAGAAUCUCUCUCUGCUGCCCAGGCUGGAGUGCAGUGGGAUGAUCUCGGCUCAUUGAAACCUCCACCUCCAGGUUCAAGCGAUACUCCUGCCUCAGGCUCCCGAGUAGCUGGGACUACAAGUGUGCACCACGAUGCCCAGAUGGAGUCUUGCUCUGUCGCCCAGGCUGGAAAGCAAUGGCGCUAUCUUGGCUCACUGCAACCUCCGUCUCCUGGGUUCAAUUGAUUCCUCUGCCUCAGCCUCCCAAAUAGCUGGAAUUACAGGACACUCAGAAAAAAAAUGAAAUUAUGAGAAUUGUUUUCUCAAAUCCUUUUCUACUGCAACCUUCCCACCAUUACGAGCAUAAUGAAACUCAAAUGUGAGUCCAAGGAAUUAUUAUCUUCAUUUUUCUACUGAGGAGAACUAUCAAGACUUCUAAUCACAUGGAAUAACUCAUUCAGGAAAUGAGGCUGGGUUGCUGAUGAUGGAAUGAGGGAGUUGGAGGGAUUAGAAAUGACGUAUCCAGAAUAGACAAUGGAAUCGGUGACAGACUUCCACUAGUGGCAGCAACCUGUGCCUCACUCCUGCACAAAUCCAAAAGGGUUUUUGAGGCAUUUGAUGGCAUGUGCCUGUGAAACAAGUAGAUAUUCUGUCUUGGGAGCUUGAGAAAAGGCCAGUAGCACUGUUCUAGUAGCCUAAAGGCAAACACACAUUUAAAUAGUGGUGGGGUUAGUAGGCAUGGGAUGAUGAGUAAUGAGCAGCUCAGAAAUGGUCACUUUAAAGAUCAAAGGUCAUAUGCCCACAUUUUCUGAAAUCAUGCCAUUUGGAAUCAUCUUACAUCCCUAAGAAUAAAAAUGUUCCUACCAAAAUCAUUUAGAAGAAGUUUUCUCUGACAACUCACCCUGUUAAAGGUCAACAUGAGAUUUUAUCAUUUACAAAAAUAAAAACACAAUGUCCUCUGACUAUGAUUCUAAAUUAAUGCAAAUCCAGUACACAGGUGAACAGGUCAUUAUAAUACAGUGCGAGGAGUGCUAUGAGUCGCGACCCUGUGAGAUUAUACAGGAGUGUCAUUCAACCUUGUUCUUAAACAAUGGCAGGUAUCAGGUGCCAAUUUUUGAAAAUAAAUGUAUGCGUCUGUUCCAAAAUAGGGAAAAAUGAGUGCAAUUAUAUAGUGAAUUUUCAUAAAGCUAAGUGUACUAAAUUUAGAUGAGUUAUUCUGUGUUUAUGUCCUUCCUACUGUUUUAAAAUUAAAACAUUUCUUACUUUAUAGAAUUUGGGUAGCAUUCAUAUUGAGUCUUUUUUUUUGAAAAAGAAAAAACUCUUUCAAAUGAAAAUAAAUCAAUAUUAUUAUGCAUAAAUGUUCCAAAAAGACCCCUUGCAUCUUAUCUUUAUAAAAGGAAGCCAUGAAAGAAGCUUUAUUUUACUAAAAAAAAAACUGCAUGAGUGACAUGGAUUUAUAACAGUUACGUGAUUUGAAUAUUUAAUGUAUUGGGCUAAGAUAGGCGGAAAUGUCCAUUCCUGUCAGUAUUAACAUUUUACAGAUGUCACUGGUACUAAGGUUUUUCUGUUGUUGAAUCAGCAAACCUCAUCCCAUGGAUAAUGUUUAUAUAAGCACUGACAAGUUAUCACACUGUAAUUCUCAAAUCUAUAUAUCAUUUCUUUGGCUAACUAAACUUACCUUUUCUUUUGAUUGAAAUAUUUGUUCCUUAAAAUGUUAAUGUUGUAUGAUUAAAUCUU